UAUAUAUAUAUAUAUAUAUAUAUAUAUACCCAAAUUAAAACAGUUCAACGUAAAUCCGACUAACAACAGUUUAUGAGAUUACAGAAGGAAAUGCUCAAAAAGAGAUCACAGAAGGAGAGAAAAAGAAAGAGAGGAAGGAAAAAAGAGAGCCAGGAGCCAUUAGAUGAAGCGGGGGUCACAGAGAGAUGAGACCUUCCUUGACGAAGAGGCCAAAGACGAGGAUGACGAGGCCGAUGGUGACGCACUGCGUGGUGGAGACGAUGGUCUGCGAAUAAGCGCACAGCGUCACCGCCGUGCCAACUAAUCCUAUCAAGAACCCGCUUAGAUUACGAUCCAUCUCCCCCUUCUCUUUUGCUCCCUCUCCCUCCCUCACUCUCCCUCUUCCUCUCGCUCUCUCUCUCUGGAUUCCAGCAAAUCCAAUUCCGAUUGCGGGAAGAAAUCCCGAAGCUUUAGAAAAGUCAAAAGUCA
Molecule: long non-coding RNA, 468 nt
Filed under: Phoenix dactylifera (date palm)
Lineage: Eukaryota; Viridiplantae; Streptophyta; Magnoliopsida; Arecales; Arecaceae
Description: long non-coding RNA (PDAC_LNC019202)
Source: RNAcentral